RNAcentral lists this ribosomal RNA (253 nucleotides) under uncultured bacterium. RNAcentral describes it as "partial 16S ribosomal RNA". It matches the Rfam family "Bacterial small subunit ribosomal RNA", at positions 524 to 776 of the family's 1533-position model. The record is from RNAcentral.
UACGUAGGGUGCAAGCGUUAAUCGGAAUUACUGGGCGUAAAGCGUGCGCAGGCGGUGAUGUAAGACAGUUGUGAAAUCCCCGGGCUCAACCUGGGAACUGCAUCUGUGACUGCAUCGCUGGAGUGCGGCAGAGGGGGGUGGAAUUCCGCGUGUAGCAGUGAAAUGCGUAGAUAUGCGGAGGAACACCGAUGGCGAAGGCAAUCCCCUGGGCCUGCACUGACGCUCAUGCACGAAAGCGUGGGGAGCAAACAGG